Molecule: ribosomal RNA, 460 nt
Filed under: uncultured bacterium
Lineage: Bacteria
Description: partial 16S ribosomal RNA
Rfam family: Bacterial small subunit ribosomal RNA
Source: RNAcentral
CCGACGGGGGGCAGCAGGGAGGAAGAGUGGUCAAUGGGCGCGAGCCUGAACCAGCCAAGUAGCGUGAAGGAUGACUGCCCUACGGGUUGUAAACUUCUUUUAUAAAGGAAUAAAGUGAGGCACGUGUGCCUUUUUGUAUGUACCUUAUGAAUAAGGAUCGGCUAACUCCGUGCCAGCAGCCGCGGUAAUACGGAGGAUCCGAGCGUUAUCCGGAUUUAUUGGGUUUAAAGGGAGCGUAGAUGGGUUGUUAAGUCAGUUGUGAAAGUUUGCGGCUCAACCGUAAAAUUGCAAUUGAUACUGGCAGCCUUGAGUACAGUUGAGGUAGGCGGAAUUCGUGGUGUAGCGGUGAAAUGCUUAGAUAUCACGAAGAACUCCGAUUGCGAAGGCAGCCUACUAGACUGCAACUGACAUUGAUGCUCGAAAGUGUGGGUAUCAAACAGGAUUAGAUACCCGGGUAGUC